Molecule: long non-coding RNA, 259 nt
Organism: Myotis davidii
Lineage: Eukaryota; Metazoa; Chordata; Mammalia; Chiroptera; Vespertilionidae
Exons: 3
Source: RefSeq, a predicted model, not a curated record
GACAGAGACAGAAAGGGAAAAUGAAAUCCAUAUGGCACCUUGAGCCAAGGAAUGAGAUCCUAGAAAGCAAAACACUUUCAAGGCAGAAACCCCCACCUGCAGAACAAGGCAGGUCCUGAGCAGCCAUGGAAGCUGGCUCCAGGAAUGGAAGAGCUUUGUAGGGAUUAGAAAAAGAUGCCCUCCCGGGUACACACAACUCCCCUGGCGAAGAUUUCCUCCUUCUUCCUGUUGGAAAACUUGUCCUCAACCUCAGGGUCAG